This is a long non-coding RNA of Ipomoea triloba (trilobed morning glory), 779 nucleotides long. RefSeq lists it as uncharacterized. NCBI's taxonomy places the organism in Eukaryota, Viridiplantae, Streptophyta, Magnoliopsida, Solanales, Convolvulaceae. The transcript has 3 exons. The record is from RefSeq and is a predicted model, not a curated record.
CUACAAUAAUGUAACCUUUACAUAACUCACAGCAAUGGCUGCGGCUUUAUUUCAGAUCAAGUCAACCACUCCUCCUCCGAGAGGACCCAAAUUACAAAUAUUUUAUUUCUACGUAUGCUAAUUUCUCCUAAUUGCUAUGGUAAAUUUUCAUCCACCCCCACCGGCUCAAACAGAACAAAAACCUCAUCUUUCAGGACCAAGUCUGCCCAACGGGCAGUAAGGCCAACCAAACCUCCUUCUGACGGUGCCACAGGCCACAGCAAUGUAGGGACCAACGUCGACAAAGAAGAACAAACAAGUACUGAAGGCCUGAUUUUCCAAACAAGUACAGGUAUCUGUUGAAGAAUGAUGGGCUGUUUGUGUUGGAGCUGUUACGGUGGCACGAGCAUUAGGGCCUGGCCACACAAUCAUGACGAUCUUGUGUGACAGUGGCAUGAGGCAUCUAAGUAAGUUUUUCAAUUCUGAGUACUUGUCUCAACAUGGCUUGACUCCUUCAGCAACUGGAUUGGAGUUUCUUGGCUUUAGUUGAAUUUUGUGUUUCAUUUUUUAUUUUUUGCACCUAAUAUAAUCACUAAAAACUGGUCUGUUUUGCUCGAGAGAUGAAAGUGUUUUCAUUUCACUAGUUGUGACACAAAUACUGAUGUAGUAGUAGAUCACACAAGAAACAUGUUUAGUGUUGUACGGUGUACUCGUUUUUUAUAGACAAGUAUGGAACACAAACUAGCUUGUACAUGAUAUGUUCAUGUUGUUCUUACCACGUUUUCUUUUCUUUAUGUCAA